AUUUAAAGGGUUUUCCGUAGGGUGAAACCUGCGGAAGGAUCAUU
This 44-nucleotide ribosomal RNA is filed under the name Umbelopsis sp. YJM-2013. Its description in RNAcentral is "partial 18S ribosomal RNA". The record is from RNAcentral. Lineage: Eukaryota; Fungi; Mucoromycota; Umbelopsidomycetes; Umbelopsidales; Umbelopsidaceae.